GCGCUGGUAGCUCAAUGGCAGAGCUUAAGUUUUCCAAACUUAAGACAAGGGUUCGAUUCCCUUCCGACGCUCCA
This 74-nucleotide transfer RNA is filed under the name Collimonas pratensis. Its description in RNAcentral is "tRNA-Gly". It matches the Rfam family "tRNA". From Rfam's summary of the family: Transfer RNA (tRNA) molecules are approximately 80 nucleotides in length. Their secondary structure includes four short double-helical elements and three loops (D, anti-codon, and T loops). Further hydrogen bonds mediate the characteristic L-shaped molecular structure. tRNAs have two regions of fundamental functional importance: the anti-codon, which is responsible for specific mRNA codon recognition, and the 3' end, to which the tRNAs corresponding amino acid is attached (by aminoacyl-tRNA synthetases). tRNAs cope with the degeneracy of the genetic code in two manners: having more than one tRNA (with a specific anti-codon) for a particular amino acid; and 'wobble' base-pairing, i.e. permitting non-standard base-pairing at the 3rd anti-codon position. The record is from RNAcentral. Lineage: Bacteria; Pseudomonadati; Pseudomonadota; Betaproteobacteria; Burkholderiales; Oxalobacteraceae.